Molecule: long non-coding RNA, 2006 nt
Organism: Numida meleagris (helmeted guineafowl)
Lineage: Eukaryota; Metazoa; Chordata; Aves; Galliformes; Numididae
Source: Ensembl
AUGGCGCCACCGCUCCCAGUGCCUCCCAGUUGCUCCCAGUAUGGCCCAGUCCAUCCCAGUAUGGCCCAGUAUGGCUCCCAGUCCAUCCCAGUCCAUCCCAGUAUGGCCCAGUAUGGCUCCCAGUGCCUCCCAGUUGCUCCCAGUCCAUCCCAGUAUGGCUCCCAGUCCAACCCAGUGCCUCCCAGUUGCUCCCAGUAUGGCUCCCAGUCCAUCCCAGUAUGGCCCAGAAUGGCUCCCAGUCCAUCCCAGUAUGACCCAGUCCAUCCCAGUAUGGCUCCCAGUUGCUCCCAGUCCAUCCCAGUAUGGCCCAGUAUGGCUCCCAGUCCAUCCCAGUAUGGCCCAGUAUGGCUCCCAGUUGCUCCCAGUAUGGCUCCCAGUUGCUCCCAGUAUGGCCCAGUAUGGCUCCCAGUUGCUCCCAGUUGGUCCCAGUAUGGCCCAGUUGCUCCCAGUAUGGCCCAGUAUGGCCCCAGUAUGGCCCAGUCCAUCCCAGUAUGGCUCCCAGUAUGGCCCAGUCCAUCCCAGUAUGGCUCCCAGUUGCUCCCAGUUGCUCCCAGUCCAUCCCAGUAUGGCUCCCAGUUGUUCCCAGUCCAUCCCAGUAUGGCCCAGUAUGGCUCCCAGUGCCUCCCAGUCCAUCCCAGUAUGGCUCCCAGUGCCUCCCAGUCCAUCCCAGUAUGGCCCAGUAUGCCUCCCAGUUGCUCCCAGUUGCUCCCAGUAUGGCCCANACUUUCACUUUCACUUUCUCAUUCGCCUUCACUUCCUCAUUCCCUUCUAUUUCCACUUCCCUCGCUUUCAUGUCCGCUUCCGCUCCCACUUUUACUUUCACUUUCUCACUUUCACUUUCCGCACAUUCACACCCACUUCCGCUUUCAAUCCCAUUUUUACUUUCACUUUCACUUUCUCAUUCGCCUUCACUUCCUCAUUCCCUUCUAUUUCCACUUCCCUCACAUACAUGCCCGCUUCCGCUCCCACUUUUACUUUCACUUUCUCACUUUCAGUUUCGCUUUCUCUACGUUCAUGCCUGCUUCCGCUUUUGCUCCCAUUUUUACUUUCACUUUCACUUUCUCACUCACCUUCACUUCCUCAUUCCCUUCUAUUUCCACUUCCCUUACUUUCAGGUCCGCUUCCGCUCCCACUUUUACUUUCACUUUCUCACUUUCACUUUCACUUCCUCUACAUUCACGCCCACUUCCGCUUCCACCCCCCUUCCCAUUUUUACUUUCACUUUCACUUUCUCAUUCGCCUUCACUUCCUCAUUCACUUCCACUUCCCUCACUCUCAGGUCCGCUUCCGCUCCCACUUUUACUUUCACUUUCUCAGUUUCACUUUCCCUACAUUCACGCCCACUUCCGCUUCCGCUCCCAUUCCCAUUUUUACUUUCACUUUCACUUUCUCACUCGCCUUCACUUCCUCAUUCACUUCUACUUCCACUUCCCUUACUUCCAUCUCUGCUUCCGCUCCCACUUCUACUUCCACUUUCACUUCCUCACUUUCACUUUCUCACUUUCACUUCUCCUACCUUCACUCCCACUUCCGCUUCCGCUCCCAUUCCCAUUUUUACUUUCACUUCCACUUUCUCACUCACCUUCCUCAUUCACUUCUACUUCCACUUCCCUUACUUUCAUCACCGCUUCCGCUCCCACUUUUACUUUCACUUUCUCACUUUUAGUUUCACUUCCCCUACAUUCACGCCCACUUCCGCUCCCAUUCCCAUUUUUACUUUCACUUUCACUUUCUCACUUUCACUUCUCCUCCAUUCACGCCCACUUCCGCUUCCGCUCCCAUUUUUACUUUCACUUUCGCUUUCUCACUCGCCUUCACUUCCUCCCUCACUUCCACUUCCCUCACUCUCGGGCCCGCUCCCACUUUUACUUUCACUUUCACUUUCUCACUUUCACUUCUUCUCCAUUCACAUCCACUUCCGCUUCCGCUCCCAUUCCCAUUUUUACUUUCACUUUCACUUUCUCACUCGCCUUCACUUCCUCAUUCACUUCCACUUCCCUCACUCU